RNAcentral lists this ribosomal RNA (428 nucleotides) under uncultured bacterium. RNAcentral describes it as "bacterial SSU rRNA". It matches the Rfam family "Bacterial small subunit ribosomal RNA", at positions 29 to 455 of the family's 1533-position model. The record is from RNAcentral.
AUUGAACGCUGGCGGAAUGCUUUACACAUGCAAGUCGAGCGGCAGCGCGGGGGGCAACCCUGGCGGCGAGCGGCGAACGGGUGAGUAACAUAUCGGAACGUACCCCGUCGUGGGGGAUAACACAGCGAAAGCUGUGCUAAUACCGCAUACGACCUGAGGGUGAAAGCGGGGGAUCGCAAGACCUCGCGCGAUGGGAGCGGCCGAUAUCGGAUUAGCUUGUUGGUGAGGUAAAGGCUCACCAAGGCGACGAUCCGUAGCUGGUCUGAGAGGACGACCAGCCACACUGGAACUGAGACACGGUCCAGACUCCUACGGGAGGCAGCAGUGGGGAAUUUUGGACAAUGGGGGGCAACCCUGAUCCAGCCAUUCCGCGUGAGUGAAGAAGGCCUUCGGGUUGUAAAGGCUCUUUCUAGCAGGAACGAAACGGU